GUUUAUUCGGUUCUGUGUAACCGAACCCGUUCUGUUUCUGUAUUGUGUGUAUGUGUGUAGUUAACAGUGUUAACACCUGUGUUUCAGGUGUAUCAGUAUGAAGCAGGCGGUGACGGCGCACUGAUUCACUCUCGGAGCUCGGUUCACUAAUGACCGAAUCACCGAGGAACCGACCAAAGAUAACUCACACCCGCACGGAGAAGAAGAACAAGAGGAGGAGAAGAUGAGCUGGAGUGGGGCAAAGAGAACUGCAUUCAGAUCAAACGGAUACAAGAGGUGGCGAUUGCAGGCACAUUUUAUCCGAACUGCUUCCUCCAGGGAACUCUAUGGAAACGACCCCAGGACCACCAUAGUGGUGUGUAAUCUCCCUCCAUUUGCAUUCCUCUACUAUAAACAGCUCCAGUCUCUCUUCAGACACUGUGGUUAAAUCAAAUCCAUCUCCUUUGACAGCUCCAGGGCCUAUGUAGAGUUCUACCGCUCGUCAAUGAGAGGUUCUGGCGUUCUCCCAGAGGUCUCUCUGUCUCUCCUCCUCACGCAGCAGAGACUUCCUCUCCAUCUCAACGUUUAACCCGCUGGAGAGGUGGAGACUUGGGCAGGGGGGGUGAAUGUGGAUUUUCAGAAUCAGUCAGUGAGCCCUGUCGGGGUUCUGAGCAGCUCCAUUGAGUUGGAGAAUCUUCCGUCUAACCCUGUCUUUAUCGUCAAUAUCACCGAGGUGUCUGUUCCGCCUCUUUCACUUUCAGUGCACAAAUAAAAAAGAAGCAGUGGCUCCUGUUGUGUGUGUGUGUGUGUGUGUGUGUGUGUGUGUGCACUAACAGGAGGUCCAGGUGCAGCCUUUGGAUAUUGAUGAAGAUUUACUGCCCCUGCAAGACCUUCCUCAACUGCGUAGUCUGGAG
This is a long non-coding RNA of Ictalurus punctatus (channel catfish), 893 nucleotides long. The record is from Ensembl. Lineage: Eukaryota; Metazoa; Chordata; Actinopteri; Siluriformes; Ictaluridae.